This 1491-nucleotide ribosomal RNA is filed under the name Lactiplantibacillus plantarum. RNAcentral describes it as "bacterial SSU rRNA". It matches the Rfam family "Bacterial small subunit ribosomal RNA". The record is from RNAcentral. Lineage: Bacteria; Bacillati; Bacillota; Bacilli; Lactobacillales; Lactobacillaceae.
GUAGUACGCUGGCGGCGUGCCUAAUACAUGCAAGUCGAACGAACUCUGGUAUUGAUUGGUGCUUGCAUCAUGAUUUACAUUUGAGUGAGUGGCGAACUGGUGAGUAACACGUGGGAAACCUGCCCAGAAGCGGGGGAUAACACCUGGAAACAGAUGCUAAUACCGCAUAACAACUUGGACCGCAUGGUCCGAGCUUGAAAGAUGGCUUCGGCUAUCACUUUUGGAUGGUCCCGCGGCGUAUUAGCUAGAUGGUGGGGUAACGGCUCACCAUGGCAAUGAUACGUAGCCGACCUGAGAGGGUAAUCGGCCACAUUGGGACUGAGACACGGCCCAAACUCCUACGGGAGGCAGCAGUAGGGAAUCUUCCACAAUGGACGAAAGUCUGAUGGAGCAACGCCGCGUGAGUGAAGAAGGGUUUCGGCUCGUAAAACUCUGUUGUUAAAGAAGAACAUAUCUGAGAGUAACUGUUCAGGUAUUGACGGUAUUUAACCAGAAAGCCACGGCUAACUACGUGCCAGCAGCCGCGGUAAUACGUAGGUGGCAAGCGUUGUCCGGAUUUAUUGGGCGUAAAGCGAGCGCAGGCGGUUUUUUAAGUCUGAUGUGAAAGCCUUCGGCUCAACCGAAGAAGUGCAUCGGAAACUGGGAAACUUGAGUGCAGAAGAGGACAGUGGAACUCCAUGUGUAGCGGUGAAAUGCGUAGAUAUAUGGAAGAACACCAGUGGCGAAGGCGGCUGUCUGGUCUGUAACUGACGCUGAGGCUCGAAAGUAUGGGUAGCAAACAGGAUUAGAUACCCUGGUAGUCCAUACCGUAAACGAUGAAUGCUAAGUGUUGGAGGGUUUCCGCCCUUCAGUGCUGCAGCUAACGCAUUAAGCAUUCCGCCUGGGGAGUACGGCCGCAAGGCUGAAACUCAAAGGAAUUGACGGGGGCCCGCACAAGCGGUGGAGCAUGUGGUUUAAUUCGAAGCUACGCGAAGAACCUUACCAGGUCUUGACAUACUAUGCAAAUCUAAGAGAUUAGACGUUCCCUUCGGGGACAUGGAUACAGGUGGUGCAUGGUUGUCGUCAGCUCGUGUCGUGAGAUGUUGGGUUAAGUCCCGCAACGAGCGCAACCCUUAUUAUCAGUUGCCAGCAUUAAGUUGGGCACUCUGGUGAGACUGCCGGUGACAAACCGGAGGAAGGUGGGGAUGACGUCAAAUCAUCAUGCCCCUUAUGACCUGGGCUACACACGUGCUACAAUGGAUGGUACAACGAGUUGCGAACUCGCGAGAGUAAGCUAAUCUCUUAAAGCCAUUCUCAGUUCGGAUUGUAGGCUGCAACUCGCCUACAUGAAGUCGGAAUCGCUAGUAAUCGCGGAUCAGCAUGCCGCGGUGAAUACGUUCCCGGGCCUUGUACACACCGCCCGUCACACCAUGAGAGUUUGUAACACCCAAAGUCGGUGGGGUAACCUUUUAGGAACCAGCCGCCUAAGGUGGGACAGAUGAUUAGGUGAAG